Molecule: ribosomal RNA, 1322 nt
Filed under: metagenome
Description: bacterial LSU rRNA
Rfam family: Bacterial large subunit ribosomal RNA
Source: RNAcentral
GCUGCCAAGAAAAGCCUCUAAGUGUUGAAGUAUAAGCGCCCGUACCGCAAACCGACACCGGUAGGUGGGUAGAAUAUACCAAGGGGAUCGGGAGAACCCUCGUUAAGGAAUUAGGCAAAAUACAUCCGUAACUUCGGGAGAAGGAUGGCCCCUGAUGGUUAGCUAUUAAGCAAAGCUGUUGGGGGCCGCAGAGAAAUGGCUCUUCCAACUGUUUAACAAAAACACAGGUCUCUGCUAAGUCGAAAGACGAAGUAUAGGGGCUGACGCCUGCCCAGUGCUGGAAGGUUAAGGGGAGAGGUUAGACGUAAGUCAAAGCUUUGAACCGAAGCCCCAGUGAACGGCGGCCGUAACUAUAACGGUCCUAAGGUAGCGAAAUUCCUUGUCGGGUAAGUUCCGACCCGCACGAAUGGCGUAAUGAGAGGAGCACUGUCUCAACGAGGGACCCGGCGAAAUUGAAGUACGUGUAAAGAUGCGCGUUACCCGCAGCGGGACAAAAAGACCCCGUGGAGCUUUACUACAACUUGGCAUUGGAUUAGGGCUUAACUUGUGUAGGAUAGGUGGGAGGCUAUGAAGCUGGGACGCCAGUCUCGGUGGAGCCAACCUUGAAAUACCACCCUGGUUAAGUUUUGAUUCUAACCUGCGUCCGUAAUCCGGCGUGGGAACAGUGCCUGGUGGGUAGUUUGACUGGGGCGGUCGCCUCCGAAAGAGUAACAGAGGCGCCCAAAGGUUCUCUCAGGCUGAAUGGAAACCAGCCAUAGAGUGUAAAGGCACAAGAGAGCUUGACUGCAAGACCUACAAGUCGCGCAGGGACGAAAGUCGGGCUUAGUGAUCCCACGGUACCGAGUGGAAGGGCCGUGGCUUACCGGAUAAAAGCUACCCCGGGGAUAACAGGGUAGUCUGGUCCAAGAGUUCAUAUCGACGACCAGGUUCGCCACCUCGAUGUCGGCUCAUCACAUCCUGGGGCUGGAUAAGGUCCCAAGGGUUGGGCUGUUCGCCCAUUAAAGUGGUACGUGAGCUGGGUUCAGACCGUCGUGAGACAGGUCGGUCUCUAUCCGCUGUGGGCGUAAGGGAUUUGAGAGGAGCUGCCCCUAGUACGAGAGGACCGGGGUGGACAGACCUCUGGUGUGCCAGUUGUUCCGCCAGGAGCAUAGCUGGGUAGCCAAGUCUGGCAGAGAUAACCGCUGAAAGCAUCUAAGUGGGAAACUCGCCUCAAGAUGAGAUCCCUCAUCCGUAAUGGAGUAAGACCGCUAGGAGACCACUAGCUUGAUAGGCGGCAUGUGUAAGUACAGUAACGUAUUCAGCUAAGCCGUACUAAUGGUCGA